UCCUACGGGAGGCAGCAGUAGGGAAUCUUCCGCAAUGGACGAAAGUCUGACGGAGCAACGCCGCGUGAGUGAUGAAGGUUUUCGGAUCGUAAAGCUCUGUUGUUAGGGAAGAACAAGUACCGUUCGAAUAGGGCGGUACCUUGACGGUACCUAACCAGAAAGCCACGGCUAACUACGUGCCAGCAGCCGCGGUA
This 194-nucleotide ribosomal RNA is filed under the name uncultured Bacillus sp. RNAcentral's name for it is "partial 16S ribosomal RNA". It matches the Rfam family "Bacterial small subunit ribosomal RNA", at positions 337 to 522 of the family's 1533-position model. The record is from RNAcentral. Lineage: Bacteria; Bacillati; Bacillota; Bacilli; Caryophanales; Bacillaceae.